Molecule: long non-coding RNA, 496 nt
Organism: Hyla sarda
Lineage: Eukaryota; Metazoa; Chordata; Amphibia; Anura; Hylidae
Exons: 3
Source: RefSeq, a predicted model, not a curated record
UAGGACAUUAACAUGAAUGGGGCCUGUGCAGAUCCCCCAUUUUGAGAUUCUGCUGGUGUAUCAGUACCUCUGUGAACUCGGGCUGAGCUACAUUCAUAACGCUACCAACAAUGGCGCAGAAGAGCUUUUUUUAAUACAAGCUUGGACCUCAUUCACUCUAAUGAUCUUAGGGGACCACAGGGGUGCCGGCUUCACUUCUGCCCAAAUACAUGUAAUGAAUAUGAAGGUAUUCCCGGAUGUUAUCAUGGACUCUCAUGUGUUCCUUUAACAUGUCUUUCCUGGCAAAGGAUUUCCCGCACUGGUCACAGCCGUGGCUCUUCACCCCUGAAAGAAAAGCUUUAUCAGUAGAUGACGGGACACCAUGUUUCCUAUACUGUUGAAAAUCCUGCCACAAACCUCACAUGGAUGAAUGUACCUGCAGAGAGAAACAAGGAGACAGCGUCAGAGAAACCUAAGCAUUAAAGGGGUACUCCACUGGAAAAAAAAAAAAUCUAAA